UUCAUUUUGAAACAACGAGAAAAGACAUGACAAGGGGGAGGAGAGAUCUGGCUCUCAAAAUCCUACAGGCAUCAGUCUUUGAUGAGCAAAGCUGUUGUGCAAUGUGUGCAGCAGUAAAGCCUCCAGGAUCUGGACCUCCAGUUACAGACUAGGUCCAGUGUGAUGCUGUGACAGAUGGUUUCAUAGGCUGUGUGUGGAAAUGGACAAAAAGACAUAUUCAGUGGCCAAGACAGGAACUUGGGAGUGUGUCCUGUGCAA
Molecule: long non-coding RNA, 258 nt
Organism: Solea senegalensis (Senegalese sole)
Lineage: Eukaryota; Metazoa; Chordata; Actinopteri; Pleuronectiformes; Soleidae
Exons: 3
Source: RefSeq, a predicted model, not a curated record